Molecule: ribosomal RNA, 229 nt
Filed under: uncultured bacterium
Lineage: Bacteria
Description: partial 16S ribosomal RNA
Rfam family: Bacterial small subunit ribosomal RNA
Source: RNAcentral
UACGUAGGCGGAAUAUUAAGUCAGUGGUGAAAUCCUGCGGCUCAACCGUAGAACUGCCAUUGAUACUGAUAUUCUUGAAUAUAGUUGAGGUAGGCGGAAUGUGUAAUGUAGCGGUGAAAUGCUUAGAUAUUACACAGAACACCGAUUGCGAAGGCAGCUUGCUAAACUAUUAUUGACGCUGAGGCACGAAAGCGUGGGGAGCGAACAGGAUUAGAUACCCUGGUAGUCC